This 328-nucleotide ribosomal RNA is filed under the name uncultured eukaryote. Its description in RNAcentral is "partial 18S ribosomal RNA". It matches the Rfam family "Eukaryotic small subunit ribosomal RNA", at positions 1470 to 1796 of the family's 1831-position model. The record is from RNAcentral.
CCCUUAGAUGUUCUGGGCCGCACGCGCGCUACACUGACUACUUCAACGAGUUGUUUCCUUGAUCGAAAGGUCUGGGUAAUCUUUGAAAGGUAGUCGUGAUGGGGAUAGAUCCUUGCAAUUUUUGAUCUUCAACGAGGAAUUCCUAGUAAACGCAAGUCAUCAGCUUGCAUUGAUUACGUCCCUGCCCUUUGUACACACCGCCCGUCGCACCUACCGAUUGAAUGGUCCGGUGAAUCUUUAGGACUGUGGCUGAGGCCUUGCCUUGUGCGGGUCUGGCCGUGGGUAUUUAGUUAAACCUUACCAUUUAGAGGAAGGUGAAGUCGUAACA